UGGGGAAUAUUGGACAAUGGGCGAAAGCCUGAUCCAGCCAUGCCGCGUGAGUGAUGAAGGCCCUAGGGUUGUAAAGCUCUUUUGUGCGGGAAGAUAAUGACGGUACCGCAAGAAUAAGCCCCGGCUAACUUCGUGCCAGCAGCCGCGGGAAUACGAAGGGGGCUAGCGUUGCUCGGAAUCACUGGGCGUAAAGGGUGCGUAGGCGGGUUUCUAAGUCAGAGGUGAAAGCCUGGAGCUCAACUCCAUAACUGCCUUUGAUACUGGAAGUCUGGAGUUCGGGAGAGGUGAGUGGAACGACAAGUGUAGAGGUGAAAUUCGUAGAUAUUCGCAAGAACACCA
RNAcentral lists this ribosomal RNA (339 nucleotides) under uncultured bacterium. RNAcentral describes it as "bacterial SSU rRNA". It matches the Rfam family "Bacterial small subunit ribosomal RNA", at positions 355 to 711 of the family's 1533-position model. The record is from RNAcentral.